Molecule: ribosomal RNA, 692 nt
Filed under: uncultured bacterium
Lineage: Bacteria
Description: bacterial SSU rRNA
Rfam family: Bacterial small subunit ribosomal RNA
Source: RNAcentral
AACGAACGCUGGCGGCAUGCCUAACACAUGCAAGUCGAACGGGAUCCACCUUUCGGGGUGGUGAGAGUGGCGGACGGGUGAGUAACACGUGGGAACCUGCCUUUUGGUUCGGGAUAACCGCGGGAAACUGCGGCUAAUACCGGAUGUACCCGCGAGGGGAAAGAUUUAUCGCCAGAAGAGGGGCCCGCGUCCGAUUAGGUAGUUGGUAGGGUAAAGGCCUACCAAGCCGACGAUCGGUAGCUGGUCUGAGAGGAUGAUCAGCCACACUGGGACUGAGAUACGGCCCAGACUCCUACGGGAGGCAGCAGUGGGGAAUAUUGGACAAUGGGGGCAACCCUGAUCCAGCAGUGCCGCGUGAGUGAUGAAGGCCUUAGGGUUGUAAAGCUCUUUUGCCAGGGAAGAUGAUGACGGUACCUGGAGAAUAAGCCCCGGCUAACUUCGUGCCAGCAGCCGCGGUAAUACGAAGGGGGCUAGCGUUGUUCGGAAUUACUGGGCGUAAAGGGCGCGUAGGCGGCCAUUUAAGUUAGGUGUGAAAGUCCUGGGCUCAACCUGGGGACUGCACUUAAUACUGGGUGGCUUGAAUUCGGGAGAGGAUAGCGGAAUUCCCCAGUGUAGAGGUGAAAUUCGUAGAUAUUGGGAAGAACACCGGUGGCGAAGGCGGCUAUCUGGACCGACAUUGACGCUGAGGCGCG